This 468-nucleotide ribosomal RNA is filed under the name uncultured bacterium. Its description in RNAcentral is "partial 16S ribosomal RNA". It matches the Rfam family "Bacterial small subunit ribosomal RNA", at positions 28 to 507 of the family's 1533-position model. The record is from RNAcentral.
GACGAACGCUGGCGGCGUGCUUAACACAUGCAAGUCGAACGGAAAGGCCCUGCUUUUGUGGGGUGCUCGAGUGGCGAACGGGUGAGUAACACGUGAGUAACCUGCCCUUGACUUUGGGAUAACUUCAGGAAACUGGGGCUAAUACCGGAUAGGAGCUCCUGCUGCAUGGUGGGGGUUGGAAAGUUUCGGCGGUUGGGGAUGGACUCGCGGCUUAUCAGCUUGUUGGUGGGGUAGUGGCUUACCAAGGCUUUGACGGGUAGCCGGCCUGAGAGGGUGACCGGCCACAUGGGGACUGAGAUAGGGCCCAGACGCCUACGGGAGGCAGCAGUGGGGAAUAUUGCACAAUGGGCGGAAGCCUGAUGCAGCAACGCCGCGUGCGUGAUGACGGCCUUCGGGUUGUAAACCGCUUUCGCCUGUGACGAAGCGUGAGUGACGGUGAUGGGUAAAGAAGCACCGGCUAACUACGUG